AGUGAACGCUGGCGGUAGGCCUAACACAUGCAGGUCGAACGGCAGCACAGUAAGAGCUUGCUCUUACGGGUGGCGAGUGGCGGACGGGUGAGGAAUACAUCGGAAUCUACUUUUUCGUGGGGGAUAACGUAGGGAAACUUACGCUAAUACCGCAUACGACCUACGGGUGAAAGCAGGGGAUCUUCGGACCUUGCGCGAUUGAAUGAGCCGAUGUCGGCUUAGCUAGUUGGCGGGGUAAAGGCCCACCAAGGCGACGAUCCGUAGCUGGUCUGAGAGGAUGAUCAGCCACACUGGAACUAAGACACGGUCCAGACUCCUACGGGAGGCAGCAGUGGGGAAUAUUGGACAAUGGGCGCAAGCCUGAUCCAGCCAUACCGCGUGGGUGAAGAAGGCCUUCGGGUUGUAAAGCCCUUUUGUUGGGAAAGAAAAGCAGCAGGUUAAUACCCCGCUGUUCUGACGGUACCCAAAGAAUAAGCACCGGCUAACUUCGUG
This 492-nucleotide ribosomal RNA is filed under the name uncultured bacterium. RNAcentral's name for it is "partial 16S ribosomal RNA". It matches the Rfam family "Bacterial small subunit ribosomal RNA", at positions 29 to 507 of the family's 1533-position model. The record is from RNAcentral.